CCCCAUGAAGCUAUUGGGGAACUUGAAGACAGGAAAAAGAGACGUUCCAGUCAUCAGGUAGGGCCCUUGGGUGGAAAACAGAAGAUUGAGAUCCUUGUGGAAGUUUGGUUUAAUAUAUACCCUUCUCCUCAAUACUGCAUUGUUUGAUAAACUCAAAUGUAUGUGUACACUCGGGUGAAAUGUGAAGAAGAAAAUGUGGGGGAACCCCAUAAUCCCAACACUAAAGGCAAAACCGAGGACUUAUUCUCUUGAUGUCAGUGGAUUUACA
This 268-nucleotide long non-coding RNA is filed under the name Crocodylus porosus (Australian saltwater crocodile). Its description in RNAcentral is "lncRNA (ENSCPRG00005007524.1)". Lineage: Eukaryota; Metazoa; Chordata; Crocodylia; Crocodylidae. The record is from RNAcentral.